CCUACGGGGGGCAGCAGUGGGGAAUAUUGGACAAUGGGCGAAAGCCUGAUCCAGCCAUGCCGCGUGUGUGAAGAAGGCCUUCGGGUUGUAAAGCACUUUCAGUGGGGAAGAAAGCCUUGGGGCUAAUACCCUCGAGGAAGGACAUCACCCACAGAAGAAGCACCGGCAACUCCGUGCCAGCAGCCGCGGUAAUACGGAGGGUGCGGGCGUUAAUCGGAAUUACUGGGCGUAAAGCGCGCGUAGGCGGUCUGAUAAGCCGGUUGUGAAAGCCCCGGGCUCAACCUGGGAACGGCAUCCGGAACUGUCAGGCUAGAGUGCAGGAGAGGAAGGUAGAAUUCCCGGUGUAGCGGUGAAAUGCGUAGAGAUCGGGAGGAAUACCAGUGGCGAAGGCGGCCUUCUGGACUGACACUGACGCUGAGGUGCGAAAGCGUGGGUAGCAAACAGGAUUAGAUACCCCGGUAGUC
This 464-nucleotide ribosomal RNA is filed under the name Vreelandella stevensii. RNAcentral's name for it is "partial 16S ribosomal RNA". It matches the Rfam family "Bacterial small subunit ribosomal RNA", at positions 338 to 795 of the family's 1533-position model. The record is from RNAcentral. Lineage: Bacteria; Pseudomonadati; Pseudomonadota; Gammaproteobacteria; Oceanospirillales; Halomonadaceae.